This 253-nucleotide ribosomal RNA is filed under the name uncultured bacterium. Its description in RNAcentral is "partial 16S ribosomal RNA". It matches the Rfam family "Bacterial small subunit ribosomal RNA", at positions 524 to 776 of the family's 1533-position model. The record is from RNAcentral.
UACUUAGGGUGCAAGCGUUGUCCGGAAUUAUUGGGCGUAAAGAGCUCGUAGGCGGUUUGUCGCGUCUGCUGUGAAAACUCGGGGCUUAACCCCGGGCCUGCAGUGGGUACGGGCAGACUAGAGUGCGGUAGGGGAGACUGGAAUUCCUGGUGUAGCGGUGAAAUGCGUAGAGAUGUGGAGGAACACCGAUGGCGAAGGCAGCCCCCUGGGCUGAGAUUGACGCUCAGGCACGAAAGCGUGGGGAGCAAACAGG